UGCCAGCCGCCGCGGUAAUACGGAGGGGGUUAGCGUUGCUCGGAAUCACUGGGCGUAAAGCGAGCGCAGGCGGCUAAAUAAGUCGGGUGUGAAAGCCCGGGGCUCAACCCCGGAACUGCAUCCGAAACUGUUUAGCUAGAGUACAGAAGAGGAAGGGGGAAUUCCAGGUGUAGAGGUGAAAUUCGUAGAUAUCUGGAGGAACACUCGUGGCGAAGGCGCCUUUCUGGUCUGUUACUGACGCUCAUGCUCGAAAGCGUGGGGAGCAAACAGGAUUAGAUA
This 279-nucleotide ribosomal RNA is filed under the name uncultured bacterium. RNAcentral's name for it is "partial 16S ribosomal RNA". It matches the Rfam family "Bacterial small subunit ribosomal RNA", at positions 506 to 784 of the family's 1533-position model. The record is from RNAcentral.